RNAcentral lists this ribosomal RNA (495 nucleotides) under Triticum aestivum (bread wheat). Its description in RNAcentral is "partial small subunit ribosomal RNA". The record is from RNAcentral. Lineage: Eukaryota; Viridiplantae; Streptophyta; Magnoliopsida; Poales; Poaceae.
AUGGAGCCUGCCGCAAUCACAUCAGCAGCGCCGCCGGCCUUGGCGGCCACGCGGCUCCUCGUCAUCCCGCCUCCCCGCGGCGGCUUCGCGUCCAUCUCCCUCCCCACCUCCAUCGGUGGAGGCGGGGGCAGGGGCGGAGGUCGCUCCGCUGGAGGAGGCGGCGGCGGCGGCGGAGGAGGAGGAGACUCUGGUGCCGGCGCUGCAGCGGCGAUGGCGCUCGUCGAGGCCGGGACGAUUGACGGCGACGUCAUCGUGCUCCACGUCGGGGGUAUGUCGUGCGGCGGAUGCGCCGCCAAAGUGAAGCGGAUUCUCGAGAGCCAGCCUGAGGUUGCUUCUGCCACGAUCGACUUGGCCAAGGCGACCGCGGUGGUGCGGACGACACCAGAAGCCAUGAUGACCAAGGACUGGCACAAGGAACUUGGGGAGAAGCUUGCAAAUGACCUAAGAAAUUGUGGAUUUCAGUCUCAUAUGCUUGAUGAAACCGAACAAAGCUGA